Molecule: ribosomal RNA, 389 nt
Filed under: uncultured bacterium
Lineage: Bacteria
Description: bacterial SSU rRNA
Rfam family: Bacterial small subunit ribosomal RNA
Source: RNAcentral
AUUGAACGCUGGCGGCAUGCCUUACACAUGCAAGUCGAACGGCAGCACGGGGCAACCUGGUGGCGAGUGGCGAACGGGUGAGUAAUGCAUCGGAACGUGCCAUUGAGUGGGGGAUAACGUAGCGAAAGUUGCGCUAAUACCGCAUAUUCUGUGAGCAGGAAAGCAGGGGACCGCAAGGCCUUGCGCUCUUUGAGCGGCCGAUGUCAGAUUAGCUAGUUGGUGAGGUAACGGCUUACCAAGGCGACGAUCUGUAGCGGGUCUGAGAGGAUGAUCCGCCACACUGGAACUGAGACACGGUCCAGACUCCUACGGAGGCAGCAGUGGGGAAUUUUGGACAAUGGGCGCAAGCCUGAUCCAGCCAUGCCGCGUGAGUGAAGAAGGCCUCGGUU